UUCGGAAAAGGUAUCACAUGCCGAGUUUGGCCUCACGGUCUAAAAGUUCUAGAGUCAGUACAAU
This 64-nucleotide small RNA is filed under the name Arabidopsis thaliana (thale cress). RNAcentral describes it as "ATSL166580". Lineage: Eukaryota; Viridiplantae; Streptophyta; Magnoliopsida; Brassicales; Brassicaceae. The record is from RNAcentral.